AUACGUAGGGGGCGAGCGUUGUCCGGAAUGAUUGGGCGUAAAGGGCGCGUAGGCGGCGCGGUAAGUCUGGAGUGAAAGUCCUGCUUUCAAGGUGGGAAUUGCUUUGGAUACUGCCGCGCUUGAGUGCAGGAGAGGUUAUCGGAAUUCCCGGUGUAGCGGUGAAAUGCGUAGAGAUCGGGAGGAACACCAGUGGCGAAGGCGGGUAACUGGACUUCAACUGACGCUGAGGCGCGAAAGUGUGGGGAGCAAACAGGAUUAGAUACCCUGGUAGUCCACACUGUAAACGAUGAAUGCUAGGUGUAAGAGGUAUCGACCCCUUUUGUGCCGCAGUCAACACAAUAAGCAUUCCGCCUGGGGAGUACGGCCGCAAGGUUGAAACUCAAAUGAAUUGACGGGG
Molecule: ribosomal RNA, 397 nt
Filed under: uncultured bacterium
Lineage: Bacteria
Description: partial 16S ribosomal RNA
Rfam family: Bacterial small subunit ribosomal RNA
Source: RNAcentral